Long non-coding RNA from Tympanuchus pallidicinctus (lesser prairie-chicken), 1368 nucleotides. RefSeq lists it as uncharacterized. Lineage: Eukaryota; Metazoa; Chordata; Aves; Galliformes; Phasianidae. The transcript is spliced from 3 exons. The record is from RefSeq and is a predicted model, not a curated record.
UUGUAUCACCGUGGUGCUUUGUGAGAAACACAGUUCGUGUGGCAAGCCCACCGUAAGAACUGGAUGGGUCACAACGAUUUUCAGUGACAGCCUCUAGGAGACACUGUCUGAAGAUUUCCCAGUUGAAUCCCCAGACUGGUCAUAACUUGACACAAAGCAAUUCUGCUUUUAUUAAAAGGCAAAUUUUCCACUGAAGAAGAUUCUAGUGGAAAAUUUCAAGCAGUCCCCAAGGAACUUCUUUCCAACCCCUUUUGCGCUGUAGUUUAAUCUUGCUUCUGUUAGACUUCUCUGUCUCUGUUUAAUCUCUGAUAACAGAGAGAGAGCUCCCUUCCAAACAAACACGUGACCAGAAGCUGACAUACAUUACCAACAACAUAUGGAAAAGUUUGUACCUUUCUGAGCAGGCAGAUUUACAAGGUGAGCUCUCAUAAGCCCCUAAAGAGAGGAAGAUGCUUCCCUGUCUUUUGUAUGUUUUAGCAAUGAAAUAAAACUCCUUUCAGAUCUAAAGCCAGCAAAUAAAGAUCUCCUCUUUCUUUACAUUUCUUUACAGAGGGUUUUGAACCUCUGUACUGCUCUCAGCUUUUUUCUUUCUUCUUAACUCAUUUUGGGAUAAUAUGCCAAACUGCUUGAGCUGGAUCUCUCUCCCUCCCUUUCCUUUCUCUACCUUUCCAUCUGUCUCUCCAGGAGCAGUACAAGAGCACUGUGCUGUAGCCAUGGACCACCCGCUGACCGGACAUCUCAGAUGCUCUCCAACAGUUUACUUUUACAGCCUGUACUGCAAAAGCCAACAUCAGCAUCAUUUAGUAAGUUUGCAGAGAGAUGUAACUUCUCAUCUUCAACACAACUAGACUUGAUGUGAGGAGCAGCAAAAAGGGAGAGUUCAACAGUGUUCAGGACCAUAUUGCUUAGUGACAUUCCCAUACAAUCCAAGAGAUUUCAAGAGCAUCUGGCAAAGCUGAUAAUGAGCAGUACUGUAGGAAGAGAAACUUGGAGAAAUUGAGGCACAGUCUUACCGGGCUAUGCUCUAACCUCAAGACUGGUGUCAGAGCAGGAGAGACUCCAACUCCUUUCACCCGAGUGGGUAGCAGUAGCCAAAAUUUCUUCAGUGUUUCUUCCAUGGCAUGCCUCCAAGUGGAGUCCUCAUAACAAAGCUGGACUAAUAUCCCAAAGUAAGUGCAGAUACCCUCAGUGCAGUCUGUAAUUAUUCUCUCUGCUGCCUGGCUGCCCUCUCCCCUGCCUUCCCUCUGGGCCUGGACACCUGUGUUGUACUGUGAUUGCCUCUUCAUUUAUGGCAAACAAGUCUGGAUUCUCCCCUUGUAUAUUUUUUAAGGAAUUUUGAACAAAUCUGGUUUCUUUUUUCUCUCUUUU